Molecule: ribosomal RNA, 491 nt
Filed under: uncultured bacterium
Lineage: Bacteria
Description: partial 16S ribosomal RNA
Rfam family: Bacterial small subunit ribosomal RNA
Source: RNAcentral
AGUGAACGCUGGCGGUAGGCCUAACACAUGCAAGUCGAACGGCAGCACAGUAAGAGCUUGCUCUUACGGGUGGCGAGUGGCGGACGGGUGAGGAAUACAUCGGAAUCUACUUUUUCGUGGGGGAUAACGUAGGGAAACUUACGCUAAUACCGCAUACGACCUACGGGUGAAAGCAGGGGAUCUUCGGACCUUGCGCGAUUGAAUGAGCCGAUGUCGGAUUAGCUAGUUGGCGGGGUAAAGGCCCACCAAGGCGACGAUCCGUAGCUGGUCUGAGAGGAUGAUCAGCCACGCGGGAGGUGAGACACGACCCAGACACUGAGGGGAGGCAGAGGGGGGGAAUAUAGGAAAAUGGGCGCAAGCUUGAACAAGCCAUACCGGGUGGGUGAAGAGGGCCUGCGGGUUGUAAAGCCGUUUUGUUGGGAAAGAAAAGCAGCAGGUUAAUACCCCGCUGUUCGAAGGGAACCCAAAGAAUAGGCCCGGCCAAAUUUGGG